Molecule: non-coding RNA, 701 nt
Organism: Anas platyrhynchos (mallard)
Lineage: Eukaryota; Metazoa; Chordata; Aves; Anseriformes; Anatidae
Source: RefSeq, a predicted model, not a curated record
CCUGGGUGCAGCCACCCAGACUCACCAGCUAUGCCAGUGGCCUCCUGAUUUCCCUCGUCACUCUUCUCGUCCUCUGGCUGAGCUCAGCCCAGCUCAGAGUGGUGGGACCAGGACACCCUCUCACUGCCACCGUGGGGCAGGAUGUCGUGCUGCCCUGCCACUGUCCCCUCAACGCGAUGCUCGCAGCUUGGAGGUCAGGUGGAUCCGGGACAAGUUCUCUGAGACAGUGCACCACUACUGCAAUGGAGAGGACCUGUACAAGGAGCAUAGAGGCAUAUGCCGGGAGGACAGAGUUGGUGAGAGACGGUCUCUCUGCUGGAAGCCUGGACUUGCGAAUCAUGGGGCUGAGGCCCUCUGAUGAUGGCCGGUACAUCUGCAUUGUGAAAGAUGGUGAUGCUUCUGAUGAAGCAAACGGUGAAUCUGGAGGUGUCAGCCCAGCUCAGAGUGGUGGGACCAGACGAGCCUGUCACUGCCACCGUGGGGCAGGAUGUCGUGCUGCCCUGCCACUGUCCCCUCAACGCGAUGCUCACAGCUUGGAGGUCAGGUGGAUCCGGGACAGUUCUCUGAGACAGUGCACCACUACCGCAAUGGAGAGGACCUGUACAAGGAGCAGAUGGGGGCAUAUGCCGGGAGGACAGAGUUGGUGAGAGACGGUCUCUCUGCUGGAAGCCUGGACUUGCGAAUCAUGGGCUGAGGCCCUC